RNAcentral lists this ribosomal RNA (477 nucleotides) under uncultured bacterium. RNAcentral's name for it is "bacterial SSU rRNA". It matches the Rfam family "Archaeal small subunit ribosomal RNA", at positions 719 to 1199 of the family's 1478-position model. The record is from RNAcentral.
ACUAAAUAGAUACCCCGGUAGUCCCAGCCGUAAACGAUGCUCGCUAGGUGUCAGGCAUGGCGCGACCGUGUCUGGUGCUGCAGGGAAGCCGUGAAGCGAGCCACCUGGGAAGUACGGCCGCAAGGCUGAAACUUAAAGGAAUUGGCGGGGGAGCACAACAACGGGUGGAGCCUGCGGUUUAAUUGGACUCAACGCCGGACAACUCACCGGGGGCGACAGCAAUAUGUAGGCCAAGCUGAAGACUUUGCCUGAAUCGCUGAGAGGAGGUGCAUGGCCGUCGCCAGCUCGUACUGUGAAGCAUCCUGUUAAGUCAGGCAACGAGCGAGACCCGUGCCCACUGUUACCAGCAUGUCCUUUGGGAUGAUGGGUACUCUGUGGGGACCGCCGGUGUCAAAUCGGAGGAAGGUGCGGGCCACGGUAGGUCAGUAUGCCCCGGAAUCUCCCGGGCUACACGCGGGCUACAAUGAAUGGGACAAU